RNAcentral lists this ribosomal RNA (500 nucleotides) under uncultured bacterium. RNAcentral describes it as "partial 16S ribosomal RNA". It matches the Rfam family "Bacterial small subunit ribosomal RNA", at positions 30 to 523 of the family's 1533-position model. The record is from RNAcentral.
AUUGAACGCUGGCGGCAUGCCUUACACAUGCAAGUCGAACGGCAGCACGGGAGCAAUCCUGGUGGCGAGUGGCGAACGGGUGAGUAAAGUAUCGGAACGUGCCCAGUCGUGGGGGAUAACGUAGCGAAAGUUACGCUAAUACCGCAUACGAUCUAUGGAUGAAAGCGGGGGAUCGCAAGACCUCGCGCGAUUGGAGCGGCCGAUAUCAGAUUAGGCAGUUGGUGGGGUAAAGGCUCACCAAGCCGACGAUCUGUAGCUGGUCUGAGAGGACGACCCGCCACACUGGGACUGAGACACGGCCCAGACUCCGACGGGAGGCAGCAGUGGGGAAUUUUGGACAAUGGGCGAAAGCCUGAUCCAGCCAUGCCGAGUGCAAGAUGAAGGCCUUCGGGUUGUAAACUGCUUUUGUACGGAACGAAAAGGUUUGGGCUAAUAAGCUGAGCUUAUGACGGUACCGUAAGAAUAAGCACCGGCUAACUACGUGCCAGCAGCCGCGGUAA